Betta splendens (Siamese fighting fish) is the source of this 1399-nucleotide long non-coding RNA. RefSeq lists it as uncharacterized. NCBI's taxonomy places the organism in Eukaryota, Metazoa, Chordata, Actinopteri, Anabantiformes, Osphronemidae. The record is from RefSeq and is a predicted model, not a curated record. The transcript has 2 exons.
AGGAUCUAUUCCUACAGUCCGUCAUCCACUCACUGCAGUAAGUACAUGCUUGAUAUUUAUAAUGUUUUAAAAUGUUAGUUUGUCCGUUUAAAUGUAGUAACCUAUGUGUGGGGCAAGUUACUAGCUAGCUAUGCUAACGGCUACAGCCAGUCGACCGAGCCUUUGUCCCCUUCAAAUGUGCUCAUGUGGGCUCCUGCAGCCACACACCUGUGUGGAGAAAAGCUAAUGGCUAACGGCAUCGAGCGGCUACAGGCAGGGAGCGGUGGGUCUAGCGUCUGUCCUUUUUCUGUAACCUCAUACACCUGCGGGGAACAGCUGAUCGUUAUCGCCCUUCCAGCGGCGACAGGCAGGAAGCGGUGGAUCUAGCUCGCUGUAGUAAGUUUGUGCUUGAUACUUGUGAUAUCUAAAUAUGUUAGUUGGGUCUGUUUAAAAUGCAGUAACCCACGUGUGAGACAAGCUAAUCGCUAGCGUCGCUAACGGCUACAGUGAGUCAACCGAGCCUUUGUCCCUUUCAAAUGUGCUACUCUGAGUUGGUGCAAUCACACACCUGUGUGGGGAACAGCUAAUAGCGAUGGGCCUUCGAUCGGCGACAGGCAGGAAGCGGUGGAUCGAGCUUUUGUCCUGUUGACGUGCUGCCGCUCCUGUUUGUGUUGCGUUAGCCGUUAGCAUGUCUUUGGGCCUUUGCACUUUAGAGCUACAGCUGGUCGAUCGCUACAAAAAGAACCUGCAGAUGAACGCGGUUGUGUUUGUUAUUACCCCGUCCUGUGUCAGAGCCUAAAUCAACUUGUGAUUUGGGGUUAUGUCAUUGUUCUAUCAAAUUCUAACAUGAUUAGUUGGAAUGAUUACGGUUGUGUUGCAAGCUUAGUUGCUAAUUAGUCACAUCUCUACAAUAACUGCUGCUUAUCUGGUCAGUAACCUACAGCUUGUACCAUAGCCAUUAUAUUUGUAGGACCAAUACAAUUUACAGUAAAUGUAACAGUCUUUUCUAUACUGUAGGGAGCCACAUCCCAGUUACCUACAUGCAAGGAGGCUGUGAAACAGAAAUCACUGCAGACUGUUGGUACACGGACAUCUGCUGCCCAGCUCAGGAGUGAAGUACCUUUUUGUUUUGAUGAGGCGAUGGUGAGGACAGCCACAGCUUCCAUCUGGUAGAGGACUGCUUCCGCUCAGUCUUCCAAAUAGUGAUGAGAACAAGGAUCAUCACAUCUCCCUGUUUACCCUACUUUCAUGCAUUUCGUCUGCAAGGCCCUGCAAAAGCUUCUGUCCUCAAACCCCCAGACUUCUUAAUUAACUCAGUAACCUAUACAUUGCACAUUGGAGUGUGAAGGUAACAGUUUGUUCUAGCUUUGGAGUAGUGGUGCAUUUUUUUGGUUUACAAUAAAGUUGGCUUUAACUAUUA